AGAGUUUGAUCAUGGCUCAGGACGAACGCUGGCGGCGUGCCUAAUACAUGCAAGUAGAACGCUGAAGAAAGGAGCUUGCUUCUUUUGGAUGAGUUGCGAACGGGUGAGUAACGCGUAGGUAACCUGCCUUGUAGCGGGGGAUAACUAUUGGAAACGAUAGCUAAUACCGCAUAACAGCUUUUGACACAUGUUAGAAGCUUGAAAGAUGCAAUUGCAUCACUACGAGAUGGACCUGCGUUGUAUUAGCUAGUAGGUAGGGUAACGGCCUACCUAGGCGACGAUACAUAGCCGACCUGAGAGGGUGAUCGGCCACACUGGGACUGAGACACGGCCCAGACUCCUACGGGAGGCAGCAGUAGGGAAUCUUCGGCAAUGGGGGCAACCCUGACCGAGCAACGCCGCGUGAGUGAAGAAGGUUUUCGGAUCGUAAAGCUCUGUUGUAAGAGAAGAACGUGUGUGAGAGUGGGAAGUUCACACAGUGACGGUAACUUACCAGAAAGGGACGGCUAACUACGUGCCAGCAGCCGCGGUAAUACGUAGGUCCCGAGCGUUGUCCGGAUUUAUUGGGCGUAAAGCGAGCGCAGGCGGUUUAAUAAGUCUGAAGUUAAAGGCAGUGGCUUAACCAUUGUUCGCUUUGGAAACUGUUAAACUUGAGUGCAGAAGGGGAGAGUGGAAUUCCAUGUGUAGCGGUGAAAUGCGUAGAUAUAUGGAGGAACACCGGUGGCGAAAGCGGCUCUCUGGUCUGUAACUGACGCUGAGGCUCGAAAGCGUGGGGAGCAAACAGGAUUAGAUACCCUGUAGUCCACGCCGUAAACGAUGAGUGCUAGGUGUUAGGCCCUUUCCGGGGCUUAGUGCCGCAGCUAACGCAUUAAGCACUCCGCCUGGGGAGUACGACCGCAAGGUGAAACUCAAAGGAAUUGACGG
Molecule: ribosomal RNA, 924 nt
Filed under: uncultured bacterium
Lineage: Bacteria
Description: bacterial SSU rRNA
Rfam family: Bacterial small subunit ribosomal RNA
Source: RNAcentral